This 329-nucleotide ribosomal RNA is filed under the name uncultured eukaryote. RNAcentral describes it as "partial 18S ribosomal RNA". It matches the Rfam family "Eukaryotic small subunit ribosomal RNA", at positions 1470 to 1796 of the family's 1831-position model. The record is from RNAcentral.
CCCUUAGAUGUUCUGGGCUGCACGCGCGCUACACUGAUGCGUUCAACAAGUGUUAACCUUGCCCGAUAGGGUUGGGUAAUCUUUUGAAAGCGCAUCGUGAUGGGGAUCGAUGACUGCAAUUGUUCAUCUUCAACGAGGAAUUCCUAGUAAGCGCAAGUCAUCAGCUGGUACUGAUUACGUCCCUGCCCUUUGUACACACCGCCCGUCGCUACUACUGAUUGGACGUUUAAGCAAGAUUUUUAAACACUGACAGUGUGUAGUUCACGCUAUACUACAGUGAGAAGAAGAAGAUCGAGCUUACUUGUCUAGAGGAAGUAAAAGUCGUAACA